Molecule: ribosomal RNA, 529 nt
Filed under: Acinetobacter sp. OPB5
Lineage: Bacteria; Pseudomonadati; Pseudomonadota; Gammaproteobacteria; Moraxellales; Moraxellaceae
Description: bacterial SSU rRNA
Rfam family: Bacterial small subunit ribosomal RNA
Source: RNAcentral
CAGUGGGGAAUUAUUGGACAAUGGGGGGAACCCUGAUCCAGCCAUGCCGCGUGUGUGAAGAAGGCCUUUUGUUGUAAAGCACUUUAAGCGAGGAGGAGUCUACUGGUAUUAAUACUACUGGAUAGUGGACGUUACUCGCAGAAUAAGCACCGGCUAACUCUGUGCCAGCAGCCCGGUAAUACAGAGGGUGCGAGCGUUAAUCGGAUUUACUGGGCGUAAAGCGUGCGUAGGCGGCUUUUUAAGUCGGAUGUGAAAUCCCUGAGCUUAACUUAGGAAUUGCAUUCGAUACUGGGAGGCUAGAGUAUGGGAGAGGAUGGUAGAAUUCCAGGUGUAGCGGUGAAAUGCGUAGAGAUCUGGAGGAAUACCGAUGGCGAAGGCAGCCAUCUGGCCUAAUACUGACGCUGAGGUACGAAAGCAUGGGGAGCAAACAGGAUUAGAUACCUGGUAGUCCAUGCCGUAAACGAUGUCUACUAGCCGUUGGGGCCUUGAGGCUUUAGUGGCGCAGCUAACGCGAUAAGUAGCCGCCUGG